Passer domesticus (house sparrow) is the source of this 2820-nucleotide long non-coding RNA. RefSeq lists it as uncharacterized. NCBI's taxonomy places the organism in Eukaryota, Metazoa, Chordata, Aves, Passeriformes, Passeridae. The transcript is spliced from 3 exons. The record is from RefSeq and is a predicted model, not a curated record.
CAACAGCAGCCACCCAUCUCUCUUCAACUACUUUCUCAGCUAAAGGUGAAAUAUUUCUGCUCCAACUCAAGGCAUCCAGGAGUCAGACAUUUAUGUUUGAGCUGGCCACAGCUGUAGCCAUGCUCCCUUUGCAGCUGACAAGGAGAAGUGGGAACCUCCAGAAGGUUGUUCAGCUUAGCCUCAGGCAGAUAUCUGUGAUGGAUCAGAAGAUUUGCUCUCAGAAGGUGCCUUUUUGUCUCCACUGAAAGAGUUCCUGUGACCACCAUCUCCUCCCAGGGAUGGGAAGAAUCAAGCCAGCUGUGUUUUCUGGAUGAAGGCUGCAGUAUCAGGCACUGGAGACACUUCUCGUGCUUUAUUCUGGCGUGGGCAAUGUGCUGACAUGGACCUGACCUGUGUGAAGGACACCCAUGUCUUCAAGGUCUCGGGGACCCUGGGGCUGGUAAUGAGAAAUGCUGCCCUGGUAUCACAGGUAUGUGGGCAAGAAAGGCUGUUAAAGCACCUUUUUGUUCACAGAGAGAAAUACUUGCUGCUUGGUGUCCUCCUCCCCGAGUGCUUCUGUGAAGGCUGACCCAAAUGACCCCUGGAAAACAAAUCCUGAGGCUGUUCAGUGCAGGUGACACGAAGAAGGGCUGUUGUGUCCUUGGCAGCUCAGCACUGGCAUUCUGUGGCCCUGCAUGAAUGCAUAGUGGUCCUAGAGUUGGUUCUGGUGCUAUAAGACACUGCAGAGGAAGAAAUCCCCAGCAGAGAAUUUCUGUGUAUUUGAUUUGUAUUUGGUGUUUGUUGGACCUCAUGUGGAAUGUCUAGGGGAUUGUCUUAGCUGCCACUUCUGCAGAGAGGGAACAUUUCUAGUAGACACAUGGGAGACACUUGUCCUGUCUUCAUUCUGAUGUUAAUUGGGAGCUUGGAGGAGUCACUACAAUUCAGACAGGCACAUACUUGCUUGGCUCUGCCUGCUUUUCUGUCUCAGUCACACCAAUGCUCAUGAUUAGCACCGGAAAUGAAAAAAACUAAAGAAGAGAUGAUCCCAGGACUUGAAGCUGGACUGGCCAGGGUCUGGGUCCUCUUGGCCUGAGGGGGAGCCUGACCUUGGCACAACAAACUAUAGCUGGCCUGGUAUGGGUCGAAGCUGUAGGACUCAAAGUCAGAGCAAGGGGAGAGGAGAAAGCCUGGAGCAGACAGAGAAACUCUUAAGUUUCUUAGGUAAUUUCCAGAACUGUUAUUGCUUCCAACUGCUCCUGCCUUGCUCCUCUCCAUCACAGGUCUCCUGAGGCCUGGGGAUGCUGACAGCCUGACCCCCAUCACCCCAUCCUGCCAGACUUGACAGGGGGUUUAGUGGUUCCAAGGGAACAGGAAAUCAGGAGCAUUGUGUGACCAUCGGCUCCCACAAUGACCCUUUUCAAAUGCCUCACCUUAAUAGAGGAGACCCUUUGUCAGCUGCAGCACUGUUUGAAUUGUUUAACAGGCUCAUCUGCUAAAGCCCCUCCUGGAAAUGGUCUCUCUUCAUAUUUUAGAUUCCAGCAUCCUUUUUUGGAAAUUAACAACCACAUGGAGAUGGUCUAAUUGCACAGAGCUUUGUUGAGCUAGAGUCAACGUUUCCUUAACCUCUUAUUAAGCCUAUCAUAAAGGUAUGCUUUUUGAGGUCGUAUUAUUAGCAUGAUGUGUUUGGCUUCAUGUCCAAAGAAAGUGCUCCAAAGAUACUAACACACACUGAAUUGAAGGAAAGAAUGAAGAUGAUUACAUGAAGCCCAGGAAUUUUAAGUCUGUUAAAAGUUUAACUAGAAAACCUUAGUUGUUGAACCAUCUGCUUUUAAUCUUCCUAUUGCUAUGCAGUCUUCUGGGGACUUGGGUUUGGCAACAGAUUUCCAAAUCACUAAAUUAAUCUUGUCAGGUUCAGGAAGCACCAGAAAACCCUUGGGAGGUAGAUUCUGCACUCAGUUCCACCUGUGUGAAGUCACCACCUUCAGCUAACACAGUGACACCACAUUUUCUCUGUAGGAUUGUGUGGUCAAAUAUCUAGACAUGCUGAUCUGCAAACUGAAAUUUGGCUGGAUUACUUGUCUACAGUCUUUUAUGGAUAAAUGACCCUGGAAUAUUCAAAACAAUCUGCAUCAUCAUCAAGCAGUCUCAAAUAUCCAUGUGGAUAUUGAGAAAAAAUUGCUCAGCAGCAUUGCAAUACGAUGAAGGAGGCCUGCUCUGGUAGCUGGGAGGGCAGUGGGGCGCUGGCCAUGGAGAUGUGAUCACUCAAACCAGCUGAGUUGUUGUUCCACAUUUCCUCAUCUGCAGGAUAUUCCAUCAACAGUCAACAGUGAGUUCCUGUAUUAAAAAAGCCCUGUGCCCCCAGGAGCUGGGGAAUGAUAAGGCUCCAGGACUGCACACUCCCCCCAUUAUACUCCUGUUUCUCCAGAGAGUUGGAUUUCUCAAGUGCAAUUUGUGGUGUGGUGUUUGGGGCUAAUUUUUAUGUGAAUAAAUGGGUCCGGUGAGGGAUAAUCAGGGAUCUGUUCUUGGUGAAAUCAAACAAUGAUCAUUCCCUAGAAGGGAAAAGAAGAGGUUGUUUUUAUCCUGCACCUUCCCAAUAUAUGAGGGAAGGCUUUGAAGUACAAAAAUAGUUGCUGUAUUAUACACAUAUUGUAGGAUGUUUACCACUGGAGACUAAUGCCUAAACAAUGAAUUUCCAAGCCACUCCAAAUGUGAUCUGACUUUAUUCUAAACAGUCAUGAAAAAAAACCUGAUUAUAACAAAUGAAACUCUGCUAUUUGUUUUCUUUUCACAGUUGGAGAUUCUGUACACACAGAGAAGUUGCUUAGAGUCUGAAAGUGUUUA